AAAGAAUGCUUAAUAGAGUGCACUCAUAAUUUUAAGAAAGAGAGCAAAAAUCAUUGCUUGCAUCUGAUGUAUACUAAUAUUUCAUACACCGUAAAAGUAUAUUAGAUGAUUGAUAGAAUAUCCGAUAAUUUGUAUUGUGAAAUAAAAUAUGAUAUUGGAGUACAUCUCUUGUGCUUUUGAAAGUACGGAGGCCACCGUUCUUGUAAGUUAUUUCCAGUAAUAGGACAUCCGAUUUAACGAUCGGCUCUUUUAGGCAUAACUUACGCUAUUGAAACUAUUUAGAUACCAAAUUUUAUAAUUUUACAACAUCAUUUACCACGUGAUCAAAAUGUCUCAAAAAUAACUAUUUUAAUGAACGAUGUGGCACGUUUUAAAGUUAGAUAGUGUAGAACAAUCCAAAUUAGAUAAAAGUUUAAUAAAAAAUUUUACUUAAUAUCAAUAGCAAUAUCAAUGUUUUUAAUUUAAAAUUUGAGUCUUUUAUCACUAUUUUUUAUGAAAUUUUUAUUUUCAAUAUUUUUUUAGGCUACUUGUUUACUAGGUAAAUAAAGUCAAAAAAUUAUAAAAUUUAAUUUCUAGAUAGUUCAAAUAGCGUAGAUCAUGUCUAACAGAACUGAUCAGCGAAUCGGUUGUCCCAUCAUCGAAAAUAACUUACGAGCAUAAAGGCCUCCGAGCUUUUGAAAAUAUAGGAUCUUAGCUCUAUAAUAUAGUAUAUAUAAUAUAAAAUAUUUA
RNAcentral lists this long non-coding RNA (729 nucleotides) under Ananas comosus (pineapple). Its description in RNAcentral is "long non-coding RNA (ACOM_LNC017035)". The record is from RNAcentral. Lineage: Eukaryota; Viridiplantae; Streptophyta; Magnoliopsida; Poales; Bromeliaceae.